CAGCCGCCGCGGUAAUACGAAGGGUGCAAGCGUUAAUCGGAAUUACUGGGCGUAAAGCGUGCGUAGGCGGUUUGUUAAGUCUGCUGUGAAAUCCCCGGGCUCAACCUGGGAACUGCAUUUGAGACUGUAUGGCUAGAGUGUGUCAGAGGGGGGUAGAAUUCCACGUGUAGCAGUGAAAUGCGUAGAUAUGUGGAGGAACACCAGUGGCGAAGGCGACUCUCUGGUCUGUAACUGACGCUGAGGAGCGAAAGCGUGGGGAGCGAACAGGAUCAGAGACCCCCGUAGUCCCUGUCUCUUAUAC
Molecule: ribosomal RNA, 301 nt
Filed under: uncultured bacterium
Lineage: Bacteria
Description: partial 16S ribosomal RNA
Rfam family: Bacterial small subunit ribosomal RNA
Source: RNAcentral